AGUGAACGCUGGCGGUAGGCCUAACACAUGCAAGUCGAACGGCAGCGCAGGAGAGCUUGCUCUCUGGGUGGCGAGUGGCGGACGGGUGAGGAAUACAUCGGAAUCUGCCCAGUCGUGGGGGAUAACGUAGGGAAACUUACGCUAAUACCGCAUACGACCUUCGGGUGAAAGAGGGGGAUCGCAAGACCUCUCGCGAUUGGAUGAGCCGAUGUCGGAUUAGCUAGUUGGCGGGGUAAUGGCCCACCAAGGCGACGAUCCGUAGCUGGUCUGAGAGGAUGAUCAGCCACACUGGAACUGAGACACGGUCCAGACUCCUACGGGAGGCAGCAGUGGGGAAUAUUGGACAAUGGGCGCAAGCCUGAUCCAGCCAUACCGCGUGGGUGAAGAAGGCCUUCGGGUUGUAAAGCCCUUUUGUUGGGAAAGAAAUCUUUCAGGCUAAUACCCUGGGAGGAUGACGGUACCCAAAGAAUAAGCACCGGCUAACUUCGUG
RNAcentral lists this ribosomal RNA (490 nucleotides) under uncultured bacterium. Its description in RNAcentral is "partial 16S ribosomal RNA". It matches the Rfam family "Bacterial small subunit ribosomal RNA", at positions 29 to 507 of the family's 1533-position model. The record is from RNAcentral.